RNAcentral lists this ribosomal RNA (435 nucleotides) under uncultured bacterium. RNAcentral describes it as "bacterial SSU rRNA". It matches the Rfam family "Bacterial small subunit ribosomal RNA", at positions 958 to 1392 of the family's 1533-position model. The record is from RNAcentral.
AACGCGAAGAACCUUACCUGGGCUUGACAUGUUCCCGACGACGGCGGAGACGUCGUUUCCCUUCGGGGCGGGUUCACGGGUGGUGCAUGGUCGUCGUCAGCUCGUGUCGUGAGAUGUUGGGUCAAGUCCCGCAACGAGCGCAACCCUCGCCCCGUGUUGCCAGCGCGUCAUGGCGGGAACUCACGGGGGACCGCCGGGGUUAACCCGGAGGAAGGUGGGGAUGACGUCAGAUCAUCAUGCCCCUUACGUCCAGGGCUUCACGCAUGCUACAAUGGCCGGUACAGCGGGAUGCGACAUGGUGACAUGGAGCGGAUCCCUGAAAACCGGUCUCAGUUCGGAUCGGAGCCUGCAACCCGGCUCCGUGAAGGCGGAGUCGCUAGUAAUCGCGGAUCAGCAACGCCGCGGUGAAUGCGUUCCCGGGUCUUGUACACACCG